Molecule: ribosomal RNA, 1077 nt
Filed under: Triticum aestivum (bread wheat)
Lineage: Eukaryota; Viridiplantae; Streptophyta; Magnoliopsida; Poales; Poaceae
Description: partial small subunit ribosomal RNA
Source: RNAcentral
AUGCAGCCCGCCGGCCGCGAAAUGCACGGCGGCGGGCAGGGGCAGGGGCAGGACGACUUCUUCGAGCAGAUGCUGUCCGCGCUGCCGACGGCCUGGGCCGAGCUCGGCUCCGUCAGGCCCCCCUGGGAGCUCCAGGCGGCCGGCGCGCCCCCGCACGACGGCGACCCCGGGUUCGACGAGUCCGCCCUCCUCGCCUCCCGCCUCCGCCACAACCAGAUCAGCGGCGGCGGAGGGGACGACAAGCCGCCGCCGGCCUUGCUCCCCCGCCACGGCCUCGACGGCGGGGGCUUCCUGCCGCUGCCGCUGUUCACUGACCGGUCGCGGGAGGACCUGCAGGGAGCCAACCAGGCGCUGUUCGACGGGUUCGGGGCCGCCGGAAUGCACGCCGCCGGCGCUGCUCAGCCACCGUUCGGGCAGGCCGGAUCAAUGCCGCCGCCAGCGGCCCAGGGCGGAGCGGCGGCGCCGCCGCGGCAGCGGCAGCGGGCGAGGAGGGGGCAGGCCACCGACCCCCACAGCAUCGCCGAGCGUCUCAGAAGGGAGAGGAUAGCGGAGAGGAUGAAGGCGUUGCAGGAGCUGGUCCCGAGCGCCAACAAGACCGACAAGGCAUCGAUGCUUGACGAGAUCAUUGAUUAUGUCAAGUUCCUCCAGCUUCAAGUCAAGGUUCUCAGCAUGAGCCGAUUAGGCGGAGCUGCGGCAGUUGGCCCUCUGGUUGCUGGCUUGUCAUCAGAGAGCAGCGGAAAUGGAAACGGGACCAGCAGCAGCGGCGACGGCAAUGGCGACGACGACAAUGGUGGCAGCACCUUGCGGGCGACGGAGCAACAGGUGGCGAGGCUGAUGGAGGAGGACAUGGGCACUGCCAUGCAGUACCUGCAGGGCAAGGGGCUCUGCCUGAUGCCGAUCUCCCUUGCCUCCGUCAUCUCCUCCGCAACCUCCUCGUCGCUCCGCUCCGCCACCCGCCCUGCUGGUAAUGCCGGAGGACCACUACACGAAGGCGGUAGCCCUGCGUCGCCUCGGUUGGUGAACGGCGGUGUGGGCGCCGAUGGCUCCCGGACCAUCGGGGACGGCGGUGGACAGUGA